Molecule: transfer RNA, 85 nt
Filed under: Felis catus (domestic cat)
Lineage: Eukaryota; Metazoa; Chordata; Mammalia; Carnivora; Felidae
Rfam family: tRNA
About the family: Transfer RNA (tRNA) molecules are approximately 80 nucleotides in length. Their secondary structure includes four short double-helical elements and three loops (D, anti-codon, and T loops). Further hydrogen bonds mediate the characteristic L-shaped molecular structure. tRNAs have two regions of fundamental functional importance: the anti-codon, which is responsible for specific mRNA codon recognition, and the 3' end, to which the tRNAs corresponding amino acid is attached (by aminoacyl-tRNA synthetases). tRNAs cope with the degeneracy of the genetic code in two manners: having more than one tRNA (with a specific anti-codon) for a particular amino acid; and 'wobble' base-pairing, i.e. permitting non-standard base-pairing at the 3rd anti-codon position.
Source: Rfam by way of RNAcentral
GCCUGGGUGGCUCAUUCGGUUAAGCAUCUGACUUCGGCCCAGGUCAUGAUUUUGCAGUUUGUGAGUUCGAUCCUCACAUCAGGCU